UAAUUAUCCCCCAUUCGGCCAUUCCCAUUUCCCCCUCAGUUCCUCCAUUUCCUCCUUCGCAGAAUCGCAGCCAGCCAGCCACCGCCGUCGCCUCCCAUAGUCCCAUUCCCCUCAAUUCUAAUCAGUAAUCAGUCUCAAUCACUCGAAAUCUCUAAAUUCAUUUUUCCCCUCCUUUCAAACUUCAACUGGGGUUUUCUUAAGCUGAUUGAUGGACUAAAGUCUUAAAACUUUUGGGCUAUUAGAGAGUUUUCUAUGAUUGCUUUAUUGGUAAUCUCAGAGGUGAGAAGCUCACUGGAAAUAGGAUGUGAAGCUCUACACAUGAAGGAAGGAUUACAUUCAUUUGCUGCAUUUAGUGCUACA
Molecule: long non-coding RNA, 360 nt
Organism: Coffea eugenioides
Lineage: Eukaryota; Viridiplantae; Streptophyta; Magnoliopsida; Gentianales; Rubiaceae
Exons: 3
Source: RefSeq, a predicted model, not a curated record